CAGGAAUGUCAAUCCACUGCAAUUGUAGUUCUAUUUCACCACGCUCAACAUUUCGCAAUCUAAUAAACACAUUUUGUACAACCUGAUCAUUUUCCCACACAAUGGAGCUCUCUUCAGAGAAACAAUUUUGCCUGCUUGGCUUUAUUUUUGUGAUUAUGGUUCCACUAGGGAUGUUCUUGUACCGCUUUCUCGCCGCAUCUAUAAAUGGCUGUAUGUCAACUUCUGCAUCACCCAUCUUAUCGUCAAGAGAAAAUAUAUCCUUGUCAUAAACAUGCAGUUUGAUUG
This 285-nucleotide unclassified non-coding RNA is filed under the name Hevea brasiliensis (rubber tree). The record is from RNAcentral. Lineage: Eukaryota; Viridiplantae; Streptophyta; Magnoliopsida; Malpighiales; Euphorbiaceae.